CGGGCGCUGCAGAUCAGCCACCUCCGAAGGCUGCUGAGGCAGGAGAGUGGGCUGGGGAGGGGAGCGCCAGCAAUUAAAUACGGCACCGGAAGUGACGCAUUACGUCCGUCACAUUUCAUUAGCCAAAGCAAGUCACGUAGCCAAGCCUGUUCUCGGGAGAGGAGGAAGUGAAUCCUCCAGCCGCCUGAAAGUGGCGGGAGUCUGAUGUAGGUGAAGAGUGAUCAUGCCCGGCACACGCUGCACAACUGAGAUCACAUCGUGUAUAGGGGGAACUGUGUGCAGGUAGCGGAGGUCCAGGGCCCAGGUCGUUGCAUGCCAUCGCUCCGAAACGCCUCCCCUCCCCCUCCAGGCCGACACGGGACAGGCAGGUCCUGUCGUUCCUUCUUGGGAGAGCUUGGCAGUUCCGUGGUGUUGUUCCCUCCAGAAGUAACACGUCUGGAAGUGAGGCCAUGAGAACCUGCUGAACAACUGCCGGCUUCACAACUGCACAUGUGGGGUGCGGCUGCACGCGGCUCUGCUGGGGCCGCCUUGCGCAGACAGUCAGCCGGUGGUGUGAACGUGCAGUGUUAAAAGUGACACCAGAGUGGUGGAGGCGUCACCGUCAGCUGUUGCAUGAGAUGACACCCGGCCUGCAGGGUUGGGUGAGAGCUCAGGAGCCGCAGCCCCUCCUUGCCUGGGUCCCAAGAUCCCGGCACCGGCGGGAAGGGGUCCAGGAAGAAGCGAGCACGUCCCAGGCAUGCAAAAUGGAGAAAAAACUGAGACCCAGAGGGCCUACCCAGCUUCCCCUGGAGGCAGAGCUGCAACUGGAACUAAGAUCGUCCAGCCGGGUGCAUUCUGCAGGAAGACCUGUCUGCAUUUCUCUCACAGGCUAGGGAUGUAGGUGUAAGAGCUGACCUGUGUCCAGCAUCAGCUGGGGGCGGGACCAUGAUUCAGUGUAAAGUAAAACUCAAGAACAUUCACUCCCUUGGGUGCAAAAUAAAACAUCGCCUCGAGCUUUACAGUUUACAAAACACUCUCCUGUUAUUUAUCUCAUUUUCUCCUCACAACAACCCUGUGACAAACACAUUGUUACUACCCUUUUUCAGUUUAGGAAACUGAGGCACAGAGAGAGACUGCUCUGCGUUCAUAGAGCUCGUUAGGGAUAGGAUGGAGCCCAGGUGGGCUGAUCCCACUUCCAGGCAUUCUUCUAUCCCACAAGCGAUCCAAAUAUCGGCUCACUUGCUUGUUCUAUCCCGUUUCUUCUUCCGAA
This 1249-nucleotide long non-coding RNA is filed under the name Equus caballus (horse). RNAcentral's name for it is "lncRNA (ENSECAG00000036083.2)". The record is from RNAcentral. Lineage: Eukaryota; Metazoa; Chordata; Mammalia; Perissodactyla; Equidae.